Chlorocebus sabaeus (green monkey) is the source of this 136-nucleotide small nucleolar RNA. The record is from Ensembl. NCBI's taxonomy places the organism in Eukaryota, Metazoa, Chordata, Mammalia, Primates, Cercopithecidae.
CCUCUUCUCAGAACACUUCCUGGGUCUGAUUGGUGGCCCAGGGAGCUGUUAGAGAAGAGCAGAGCAAAUGGCCAUCACUUUGUAGAUGAGAUGGCAGGAGAGUGGAUUGUUGGUCUCAGUCAGUGGUGGGACAGAC